CCCGCUGAACUUAAGCAUAUCAAUAAGCGGAGGAAAAGAAACUAACAAGGAUUCCCCUAGUAACUGCGAGUGAAGCGGGAAAAGCUCAAAUUUAAAAUCUGGUUUGCUUUGCAAAUCCGAGUUGUAGUCUGAAGAAACGUUUUCCAUGAAAGCUGAGGCACAAGUCCUUUGGAACAGGGCAUCAUAGAGGGUGAGAAUCCCGUCCAUGGUCUCAAGCCUUUCAUUUUGUGAUACGUUUUCUAAGAGUCAGGUUGUUUGGGAAUGCAGCCUAAAAUGGGUGGUAAAUUUCAUCUAAAGCUAAAUAUUGGCCAGAGACCGAUAGCGCACAAGUAGAGUGAUCGAAAGAUGAAAAGCACUUUGAAAAGAGAGUUAAACAGUAUGUGAAAUUGUUGAAAGGGAAGCGCUUGCAACCAGACUUGUGUAUCGUGGUUCCCUCGGUCUUCUGACCGGGUUACUCCAUGAUAUCCAGGCCAGCAUCGGCUCGGGUGGUUGGUUAAAGGUCCUAGGAAUGUAUCUACCUUCGGGUCGACUUACAGCCUAGGGCGUAAUGCAGCCUACCUGGACCGAGGAACGCGCUUUUGCUCGGAUGCUGGCGUAAUGGUUGUAAGCGGCCCGUCUUGAAACACGG
This 628-nucleotide ribosomal RNA is filed under the name uncultured fungus. RNAcentral's name for it is "eukaryotic LSU rRNA". It matches the Rfam family "Eukaryotic large subunit ribosomal RNA", at positions 24 to 664 of the family's 3401-position model. The record is from RNAcentral. Lineage: Eukaryota; Fungi.